RNAcentral lists this long non-coding RNA (207 nucleotides) under Spirodela polyrhiza (greater duckweed). Its description in RNAcentral is "long non-coding RNA (SPOL_LNC000204)". Lineage: Eukaryota; Viridiplantae; Streptophyta; Magnoliopsida; Alismatales; Araceae. The record is from RNAcentral.
UUUCUAUCUCUCUCUCUCUCUUGAAUGUGCGGAGAAUUCAAAAGGCUGAAGAAAGAGGGGGAAUCCGACAACGACCGCCGGCGGCUUCAAAGGCGAGAAAGCAGAGCCAAAGACAGGAGGGGAGGAGUAGGAAGACAGAGACGGCAGGCCCAUGCACGCCCAGCGUAUCUGCGGUGGGCCCUCCCCACCACCCUUUGAAUCCGGGAC